This is a long non-coding RNA of Peromyscus leucopus (white-footed mouse), 2376 nucleotides long. RefSeq lists it as uncharacterized. The record is from RefSeq and is a predicted model, not a curated record. NCBI's taxonomy places the organism in Eukaryota, Metazoa, Chordata, Mammalia, Rodentia, Cricetidae. The transcript is spliced from 4 exons.
AUGCUGUUUGGGUGUGUGGAAUGGAGGCCGUGACUAUGUCCAGUUGGUAUGAGUAGGCUGUGCUCUGACUCGGUCUGGCCUGCUUCCUCUUCCCUCAGAGUCUGUGCAGGCGACCAGCCAGUCUAAACACUACACACCUUACCUUCAGGUCCCAAUAAGGACUUGUUGACCAGAUGGCCAAAAUGAAGGGGGUCUUUGUUUCUGAACUCUCUUUACCUGGCUCACCGUGCAGUGACUCCUGGCAACCUGGCUGUUUGCAAAAACCAGACACACCCUUGCAAGAUGAAGCAUUGCCAUUAGAGAACCAACUUGACUCGACUCUUGUCGAAGGGAGUGGAGCAGCAGAAGCAAGACUGAGUACAGGCCACUUGGUAAGGUAUCUGGUCUUGGGAGGAGACAGGGCUCUUGGAAGAAUGAGAUAGGAGUGUAGAUCUAUAAAUAUGCCUUUGGGGAUUUACAAAUAAUCUCUGGUGAGCUGAGGCAAGGGAGGUGUUUAAAGAAAAAGGUUUUAAUGACAGAGAAGACAGGAAAACUCAAUCCUCUGGGGUCUUGUCAAAUAGCAAAGACAUACUGAUUGGUCACUAGGGGCCAGCAGCAGGGUGUGGGGAGCAGUGCUGGGCAGACAGGCAGCCUUCUGGGAGAGAGCACGUAAAACAAAGAACUGGAACAUUCCAGGUGCUGGUCAAGAGAGGAAGUGCGGGCCAAUGGCAAAGGGCCGUGAUCCCAAUGACCUGUUGACUGAAACACAAAGAAAGGACAUUUGUAUCACCUUGCCUAUUCCAAGGGCAGACAGGAAUGCCUGAAGACAUCACUUAAAGAUUCUGGCUCCAUCAGAAAUACAGAGCAACCUGUGGGAGCUGCGAGCAAAUGGAAGUUGUUUGAGAUGAGAAAAAACCUUAACUCCUUAAUUCUGAGUUUUCACAGCUGUGGUAUUGACACUUUUCUUGCUAAGAACCCACCGUCUUUCUCCAGGAUGGUAAUACCCAGGAGGUGGCCUGUGUUUGCUCAGGUAAUGAAUGUUCCAGCAAACACUAUUUGAUUUACAUGCAAAAUUUCACAUCUCAAACAGAGAACUCAGUCAUGUCUGUAUGCUGCUAUUUUUAUUUUUCCAGUUGAAUAAGACCUUCAUUGGUUAGGGCUGGAUUUUCAGAGGGAAGUGAGGGGGUGUUGGAAAUAACAACUGGCCUUGUACAAAGAUGUCCUGGACUCUGACAUGAAGGAUCAAAAUCAACCUCUUUGGAGGGCUUCUCUCCUCCACUGCCCUUGCUGCUGGAAGAGUCAGAGAGGAAACUUUCCACUCCAGAAGGAGGUGUCAUAGUAGAGAGGAUCAGAGGGAGGCAGGGUGAAAAGUUUACAGCUGUGUUCCAGCCACAGUGGCGAUCAGCUGGCAAAGAAAACAAAGAUGUUAAGAGCACCACACUAAAGGAGCCACUGCAGAAGCCUCUACCUCUGAGCACAGUCACAUGAUUUGUACUGUUAACUCUUCAAAGAACUUUCCUGGAUGAGUUACAUGAAAUCAUAUUUCCACCACAUUGCAUCUUAAGAGCCACGGGGCAUCAUCCAUGCAUCAUCUCAUCCACCUUUCACAAAGGCUUGGACCACCCCACCCCACCCCCGUGCAGGUCCUCUUUGCAGACAACCAGGUGAACACAGGGCCUAGCAUAAUUACAUCAUAUUAUAAUCAGAAUGCAGCCUCGGUUUCUUCAAGGAUCUACGCUGGGAUUUGAAAGAAACAUGUGUGCCCAAUGUAAGAGCUCUGGGAAUGAUACAUUCCCUCACCUCACGAGAGGUGUGGAGGAUACCUUGAAAGCUGGGAAAUAUGAAGAACGAAGUGAAAGAGUCCCAGCUCAGGUGGAGUGAGGCCACUGAGAAGGGCCACUGAGAAGAGCCACAUGGCCUUAGUCAAAUCACUGAGAAUGGAUAACGUUGUGGCUGAUGGGACACAUGCUGUCACAGGUACUCAAAUUCCUCACACAGUUCUCUUACAAACCUGUUUCCCUGAUGAAGACAAAACUUUCCUGGGGCUUCGUAGGAGGCAAGUGGAACUUGGAUGCUUGGUUUGUGCUGAAUCAGAUGCGGGUCUGUCUCCUGUGAGUUCAUGUGCUAAAAUGUGAUCCCUGAUGGGAGGUGGUAAGAAAAUAGAGAGGUACUACAACUGUGUGGUGGGAAGUGGGGCCUUUGGCAGGUGUUAGGGUUAGGUUAGACAGUCAUCUUGAAGCCCAGUUGUUUGAACCCACAUGGCUUUAGAACAGUGGUUCUCAACCUUCCUAAUGCUGUGGCCCUUUAAUACAGUUCCCCAAUCAUAAAAUUAUUGUCAUUGCUACUUUAUAACUGUCAUGAUCCACAGGAUAAGAAGCCACUGCUUUAGAAAGGGAA